UAAGGAAUAUUGGUCAAUGGACGCAAGUCUGAACCAGCCAUGCCGCGUGAAGGAUGAAGGUCCUCUGGAUUAUAAACUUCUUUUAUAGGGGACGAAACAACUGGUUUCUACCGGUCUUGACUGUACCCUAUGAAUAAGCACCGGCUAACUCCGUGCCAGCAGCCGCGGUAAUACGGAGGGUGCAAGCGUUAUCCGGAUUUACUGGGUUUAAAGGGUGCGUAGGCGGGCUUGUAAGUCCGAGGUGAAAUCUCUGAGCUUAACUCAGAAACUGCCUUGGAUACUAUGAGUCUUGAAUGUCGUUGAGGUUUGCGGAAUAUGUCAUGUAGCGGUGAAAUGCUUAGAUAUGACAUAGAACACCUAUUGCGAAGGCAGCAGGCUAAACGAAAAUUGACGCUGAGGCACGAAAGCGUGGGAGUCAAACAGGG
This 425-nucleotide ribosomal RNA is filed under the name uncultured bacterium. RNAcentral describes it as "bacterial SSU rRNA". It matches the Rfam family "Bacterial small subunit ribosomal RNA", at positions 355 to 777 of the family's 1533-position model. The record is from RNAcentral.